UUAAGUAUCUGGCAGGGGAACCUCCACAAUCACACUAGUGAUUUUCACAGGGCAAGGCACAUCCAUUCCAGUCUGGAUGUGCUGACCUGUGGGAUUUCCCCAGGUGUGGAAACCUCAAUUGUAUCAUUUGUGGUAAUGGGGGACUGCUUUUGCACUUCACCCUG
Small nuclear RNA from Sciurus vulgaris (Eurasian red squirrel), 164 nucleotides. Its record names the gene U1. It matches the Rfam family "U1 spliceosomal RNA". From Rfam's summary of the family: U1 is a small nuclear RNA (snRNA) component of the spliceosome (involved in pre-mRNA splicing). Its 5' end forms complementary base pairs with the 5' splice junction, thus defining the 5' donor site of an intron. There are significant differences in sequence and secondary structure between metazoan and yeast U1 snRNAs, the latter being much longer (568 nucleotides as compared to 164 nucleotides in human). The record is from Ensembl. NCBI's taxonomy places the organism in Eukaryota, Metazoa, Chordata, Mammalia, Rodentia, Sciuridae.